Molecule: long non-coding RNA, 507 nt
Organism: Platichthys flesus (European flounder)
Lineage: Eukaryota; Metazoa; Chordata; Actinopteri; Pleuronectiformes; Pleuronectidae
Exons: 3
Source: RefSeq, a predicted model, not a curated record
AUAUUGACCUUUGACAGUCAAGCUGCCACAUUUUGGAUUUAAAUUAUCUGGUUAAAUCAGCAGCUUUACAAGCCAAGAUCACAAAUGUGCUUGCUGACAUAUUUAACAAUGUAUUAAUUUGCUUUUGUUUCUACCGUUUUUCAUUUUUUAAGGAUGACAAGACGAUGACAAGACCUGAACAACCUGGUCAUGGUGAAAAUCCCAACCAGCAAACCGAUAUUCCUGCCCCCAAGAAGCACCACUUCUGUCCUGUCUCCAUUGCAAUUCCUCUCUGCCACCCUGGCCUUUCGGGCGGCCCACAUCCCUGUGCCCAGAAUAAUGAUGUAGAAGAACAGCACCGCAACCACACCAGGAAUGUUCAGAGCCAUGGUGGUCUGCCACUGUGGAGCACACUGACAGCAAGGAGGAGAGGUUCAGUGUUGAUGAGGAUGGCCCAGCAAGGGAAACAGGCCAACAGCAGAAUCAAAAUCCCCCUCUGGAGAAUCACACCAACUCGCUUCAAGUUAC